GACGAACGCUGGCGGCGUGCUUAACACAUGCAAGUCGAACGGAAAGGCCCUGCUUUUGUGGGGUGCUCGAGUGGCGAACGGGUGAGUAACACGUGAGUAACCUGCCCUUCUCUUUGGGAUGACUUCAGGAAGGUGGGGCUACUAUCGGAUAGGAGUUCCUGCUGCAUGGUGGGCGUUGGAACGUUUCGGCGGUUGGGGAUGGACUCGCGGCUGAUCGGCUUGUUGGUUGGGUAGUGGCUUACCAAGGCUUUGACCGGUAGGCGGCCUGCGAGGGUGACCGGCGACAUGGGGACUGAGAUACGGCCCAGACUCCUACGGGAGGCAGCAGUGGGGAAUAUUACACAAUGGGCGGAAGCCUGAUGCAGCAACGCCGCGUGCGGGAAGACGUCCUGCGGGUAGUGAACCGCAGUCGCCUGUUACGAAGCGUUAGUGACGGUAAUGGAUAAAGAAGCACCGGCUAACUUCGUG
Molecule: ribosomal RNA, 468 nt
Filed under: uncultured bacterium
Lineage: Bacteria
Description: partial 16S ribosomal RNA
Rfam family: Bacterial small subunit ribosomal RNA
Source: RNAcentral